UAUCACUAAGCGGAGGAAAAAAAACUAACAAGGAUUCCGCUGGUAACUGCGAGUGAACAGGGAUUAGUCCAGUACCGAAGCCUGUGGUUAUUUGACUGCAAGGCAAUGUGGUGUUUAGGUUUGUUCUUGGCAUUACUGCUCUGCCACAAGUCCAGCAAUGAGUACGGCAUACCGUUCUGGCCCAUAGAGGGUGAAAGGCCCGUGGGGGUUGAGACCAAGCAUGACAGUUUUGUCCAGAGCUUACCUUGGAGUCGGGCUGUCUGAGAAUGCAGCCCAAAGUGGGUGGUAAACUCCAUCCAAGGCUAAAUAAUUGCAAGAGUCCGAUAGUAAAUAAGUACCAUGAGAGAAAGUUGAAAAGUACUUUGAAGAGAGAGUAAACAGUGCGUGAAACCGCUCAGAGUUAACGGGUGGAUUUGAACUGCGAUCCUUGGGAAUUCAGCUGAUGAGCAUGAUUUGUGCCUGGGCAUAUUGACCGCCUUUCAGUAUCUGCUUAGCUGUGGGUGCCUGCCUCUGGUGGGUAUGUGUGGUGCGCUUAUCAUGCGCCACACGCAUUGGAGGGUGUAUAAGUCUGCUUGUCGGUGCACUUUCUCAGGGUGUUCACCACGACCGGCACUGCUGUUUGUCUACUUUGGUCAAACUGAUCGGGUCUGAUUAACGUUGGGCUUGGUUGGGUUUGCAGGUGACUCACUGGUCCAUUCUGUGGGCUAUGAGUGCUACUAGCCGGCUUUAGUGGAUCUGUACGGUGUGUCGGAGACAGCGGCUUUGCAUAUGCGCUCUGUCCUUCAAGCGUGGUUGAGUCUGGUCGACUUGUCGCUAGUUUCGGCUGGUCAGUUGAUGGCUUGAUCAUGUUCAGUUGGCAGUGGUGUGUGUGUCUUAGUUUGGGCCGAUAGUCUGUGGUGUUGUGGUAGACAAUCCACCUGACCCAUCUUGUAACACGGACCAAGGAGUUUAACAUGUGCGCGAGUCAUUGGGUUUUACGAAACCCAAAGGCGCAGUGAAGGUAAAGGUUUGGCUUGUCCAGGCUGAGGUGAGAUCCUGUUGUUUUGCUCAUUCGUUCCAAGCUGCGAGCAGCAGGCGCAUCACCGGCCCGUCCCACGACGUAGAUAUGUGGCCUUGUGCUAUGUGCACCGAAGGGGCGGAGCAAGGGCGUACAUGUUGAGACCCGAAAGAUGGUGAACUAUGCUUGCGAAGGUGUAGGACCGUAGCGAUUCUGACGUGCAAAUCGAUCGUAUAACGUGAGUAUAGGGGCGAAAGACUAAUCGAACCAUCUAGUAGCUGGUUCCCUC
RNAcentral lists this ribosomal RNA (1286 nucleotides) under Trichobilharzia sp. L1. RNAcentral's name for it is "eukaryotic LSU rRNA". It matches the Rfam family "Eukaryotic large subunit ribosomal RNA", at positions 41 to 961 of the family's 3401-position model. The record is from RNAcentral. Lineage: Eukaryota; Metazoa; Platyhelminthes; Trematoda; Strigeidida; Schistosomatidae.